AUGAACCUGUAUAGGAAUUUUGGGAAUCUUCUGGAGAGUUGGGUGACUGAAGGCCACCAGGAUUUAUACUUACAGCCUGGACCUGGUGUGGACAGAUUAGAUUCCAUUUAUAGGGACUCUGUCCCACUAUCUAAUAUAAAAUCAGAAUCUGAGGACUCCGGAUUUGAAACGGUUAGUACAACUAGUCCUUGUCAUUCUCACCAGUGUAGUGCUUUGACAUCUGAAGAAUCAAAGCCAGUUUUUGGCUCUACAGAGAAUGAGGUUCAACCUUCAUCCCCGUCUCCUUCUAUUUGCUCAUCCUCAUCCUCAAGUGUUGAUCUCAGCUCUGUGGCUCUAAAAACAACACAUCUGGAGGUGGAGCAAGUCUUGAGAAGGACCGAAUCAGGCUCAUGGAGAGGACCCCUGCACCAGGUUGAAAGGGGGACCGCUGGGCCACGGUAUCGCUCUAACACGGCCUCUUUUCCAACCAGCUUUCACUCAAACAGCUCCAGACCACAUCAUCGGUUUGCUCGUCCAAGGAGAACUCAUUCACAACCUCCAGAUUCCAAGAAAGCAGAACUGUACAGAAAAUACCUAAAGUCAGACCAACAUGGCCAACCAGCAGACAGCCAGCUGGAGCUUGCAGACAGUGAUCAUUACAGACUGGACAAGCUGUCUCCAGGGUUGCUGUACCUGGAGCAGGUGUGCAGGAUGCUGGAGAAUGUUGCAAAGCUACAGCAGCAAAACUACAGCCUGCAGAAAGAGGUGGAGAUCCUGAAGAGUCAGCAUGCAGAAAUAGAGCUUGGAAGCUUUCAUGUGGAGGAAAUAAGCUAUCCUGCCAGUCAAGGUUUACAGAUUCUGGGUCAUGAAGAUCCACCCAGCGAAUCGUCUCACCUAAAAGAACCCAUGGGUUUUCGUCACAGAUCAGUAUCUGACACCCAGGCAGCUGUCGGCCAUCACAGGAGAACAAGGUUUGUUCGAGACAAACCUAUUGUAGAUGUCUUAGUCGAGGAACCUGAUGGUAAAGAUCCUUUACCGGAAAAUGAGCACAAAAAGCCGAGUAAGAUCCAAAAGCUGAAAUUUGCAUCAUUUAGAAGACAGGAAACACAACAGUCUGACAGAGAAAGCAAAAGCUUUCAGCCUAAGAAGAAAACAAGAAUGCCAAGCUUUUUCAGUAGGAGUAGAAGUAUGACGACACGUCUCUAA
This is a long non-coding RNA of Cyprinus carpio (common carp), 1185 nucleotides long. The record is from Ensembl. NCBI's taxonomy places the organism in Eukaryota, Metazoa, Chordata, Actinopteri, Cypriniformes, Cyprinidae.